CAGGCUGAGAUCCAUCUGGCCAAGGUGGACGGCAUUGUAGACGGCGGAGAGGAGCACGCGCCCAGCGGCCACCAUGGUGCCCACCAGCACGUUGAUGAGGAAGAGGAAGAAGGUGGCUGCGUAGAGCACUCGCCUGGAGGUCCUUUGUCCACCGACUCUGAGUCCCUCCUGGCGCUGAGGUCCUCCCACAGCCUUUCCACCUAUCAUGGAAAUCAUGUUUCGAUUAACCUCCUUCCUGUAAAGGGAGAGGCACAGGGUUUUGGAAGACACAGAGGAUCCAGGGGAGAGCAGUGCUGACCCCCAAAGCAGGAAAGGCCCGUGGCUCAUAUUUCUGAUACGGUAACAGGACUCCAAGGAUCGGAGGAGCAGAAGGUUCCUGCCAUGGAGGACAGGCAUGAACACCAGGAAGGCAAGGAUCAUGGUCCCCAGGAAGAAGAUGAUCUGCUGCACCAGGAGCCCUGCAGGAUGGGGA
Long non-coding RNA from Zalophus californianus (California sea lion), 472 nucleotides. RefSeq lists it as uncharacterized. NCBI's taxonomy places the organism in Eukaryota, Metazoa, Chordata, Mammalia, Carnivora, Otariidae. The record is from RefSeq and is a predicted model, not a curated record. The transcript has 3 exons.